GAGUUAAUUUUUUUAAGUUUUGAAAACUUUUUUGAGGUUUUGCCUUUAACUUU
This 53-nucleotide transfer RNA is filed under the name Brugia timori. Its description in RNAcentral is "tRNA-Ser2". Lineage: Eukaryota; Metazoa; Nematoda; Chromadorea; Rhabditida; Onchocercidae. The record is from RNAcentral.